This 107-nucleotide small nuclear RNA is filed under the name Mustela putorius furo (domestic ferret). Lineage: Eukaryota; Metazoa; Chordata; Mammalia; Carnivora; Mustelidae. The record is from RNAcentral.
GUACUCCCUUUGGCAGCACGUCCAGUAAAAUUGGAAUGAUACAGAGGAGGUUCGCAUGGGCCCUGUGCGAGGAUGACAUGUAAGUUGAGGGGGAGGAUUAAAUAAAA